Molecule: non-coding RNA, 4263 nt
Organism: Lolium perenne
Lineage: Eukaryota; Viridiplantae; Streptophyta; Magnoliopsida; Poales; Poaceae
Source: RefSeq, a predicted model, not a curated record
UUGGCCCUCUCCUCCCCCAAUCCCCGCCCCCUCUCUCCACCCCCAAUCAGACGCCUCCUGGCUACGGGAGCCCCGACGGUGGCGGCGGCCGGAAUGGAACAGGUCGGCGGCAAGCAGGGCAAGAACGGGCGGCGGCGUGUCGUCUCUUUUCUCUCUCCAUAUUGCCCGCGUGAAGCGCGAGAGGUUGAGGUCAAGGCAGCGGCGGCUGUGCUGGCCGCGGCAGACGUGAAGGAGGAGGGGCGCCUGGCCGACUGGGCCGAGGUCGGGCGGGAGGAGGUAGCACGGCAGCGGUGGGGAGCGCGCUGCGAGCGACGGCGGCAGCUGGACGCGGUAGUGGUCGGCAGCGCCCCGAGCGAUGGGGGUGACUCGACGCGGCAGAGCAGCGGCAAGGAGUGCGCGCUCGGGCGCGCGCCAGCAGCCUGAUCCAAGGGAUGUUGGAGCCGGACGGCCGGCAGGCGGCAGGACGAGGUCGCCCCAUCCACCUCGUCUUCUCACGUCCAUUCCGGCCAAGAUCCGGCUCUCCCGCUCUCUCUCUCCUCCUGGUCUUCAACAGCACAUGGCAGAUGGGGAGGACGGCCGGGAGGUGGUGACUGCUUCACUAGAAUCCAUGAAGAAGCCGGAGCUUGUGGCGCCCUUUUGCUACAGCCUACAGGCUUAGGUAUGUGCUUUCUUCCCCCUCCUCUGAAAGAACCGAAUUUUUUGAAGCCUACGGUGGGGCUGUUCGUGUCUAGAGUGAUUUGAUUUGCAGGUGGGGGAAAGAUAGUGCUAUGCACAUGGGUAAGUAAUAUGAACUCACAGGGAAAUAGUAGAGUCAGACUGGAGCUCUCACUGGCGUGGCAUCACAAUGCACAGUUCAUAGCUAAAAGCUACUGAGAUGUAGAUUCUGAUGUAUUUUAGCUCAGCCUAAGAAACAAUAAAACGAAACUGGUAUCUUUCUUUGUUCUUGCAGCUCUUCUGCUGGUUUUGCUUCAUAGAUGUGUGAUCAAAAUCAUAAGCCUUGUUAAAUAAGUAAAUCACAAUAUCACGAUUUUGUUCGCUUCGUGUUAGAACGACUGUUUGAUCUCUUAGUGCUUCAAAAAUUUAUGGGUUCAUCUUGCUUUUUGUGUAUGCUCUCGAUCUCCUUGUGAACAAAACAAGUGGACCAAAUUUUCUAACUUUUGUAUGCAUGUUGGUCGGGCGGGAGGAGGCGGCGGGGCAGCGGUGGGGAGCGUGCUGCGAGCGAUGGCGGCCACUAGAUGCGGAAGCGGCAGUGGCCAGCAGCGCCUUGAGCGAUGGGGUGACUUGACGCGGCAAGGAGUGCGCACGCCAGCAGCCUGAUUAGGGUGAUUAUGGUAUCCACCGUCCUCCAAAACUUCAGAAGUUAUUAUGGAUGAGAGAAAGGCACUAGCAAGUAUGACAACAAAAUCUCCUUAUCUCAAGGAGAUUAUUGAUGCUGCUGCUUAUAGGUCAAAAGAGUGGGAAGAAACAAUGGGUGAUGAAAGCAAAAGGGCUGUUUGAUCUCAUAGAUGUGUGAUCAAAAUCAUAAGCCUUGUUAAAUAAGUAAAUCACAAUAUCACGAUUUUGUUCGCUUCGUGUUAGAACGACUGUUUGAUCUCUUAGUGCUUCAAAAAUUUAUGGGUUCAUCUUACUUUUUGUGUAUGCUCUCGAUCUCCUUGUGAACAAAACAAGUGGACCAAAUUUUCUAGCUUUUGUAUGCAUGUUGGUCGGGCGGGAGGAGGCGGCGCGGCAGCGGUGGUGAGCGCGCUGCGAGCGAUGGCGGCCACUAGAUGCGGAAGCGGCAGUGGCCAGCAGCGCCUUGAGCGAUGGGGUGACUUGACGCGGCAAGGAGUGCGCACGCCAGCAGCCUGAUUAGGGUGAUUAUGGUAUCCACCGUCCUCCAAAACUUCAGAAGUUAUUAUGGAUGAGAGAAAGGCAAUAGCAAGUAUGACAACAAAAUCUCCUUAUCUCAAGGAGAUUAUUGAUGUUGCUGCUUAUAGGUCAAAAGAGUGGGAAGAAACAAUGGGUGAUGAAAGCAAAGAAUUUGUGAAUUACAUGCGAAAGAGAGAGAAGCAAGAGAAAGCAAGAGGAGCUGUUCUCUCAAGCUCCAGAAACCAAUGUCAAAAGUACAUCGAGAAGAUGAAGAAGCAACUUCAUGGGUUAUAAGGCGCAACUCUCCCUUGGCUUAUUACACUUAUCUAAUGAGGCAAUAUUAAGAAUCUGAUACUUGCUUUAGUCAACACGCGUCAGCGCCGGGUUUUGAUGGUUUUGGGGACAUGGAAAACAAAUGUAGCACACUUGUGCUUGAUAUUUAAGCUAAACCAUGUCUAGGAAAGAAGAGGUCAAGUGAUGCCAGAAAACAGCGAGCAUGGCGCGCAACGCACCUGUCGGGACAGGCUGCCAGAGCGGUGUUCAUGACGACUGCUGCAACUUGGGGAGAGACUUCUGCAUUGAUGUACAACAAGUUGCCUGAAGCCAGGGUGCCAAGUGACAUGGUUUGAAAGGAGCAUUAUUUCUUCCUAUAAAUGAUCUGAAAGGGGCAAACCAAUCCAUCUCGUCCAAUCCCAUGCGACAGUACUUUUUCCAGCCCCACUUUCACAGCAACCGUUGGAUGCAGUGAUUUCUUUUUGCACCUCUGGCUCGUCUAGAUGGGUCAAUGAUGGCUGGGACCAGGCUCUUGCGGUGCCGGCAGAAAGAGGCAGCCACGAUGCUCGUUUUGUGUCGUCUUCCUUCCCGUACCCGCAUGUACUCUGUCCAACUCCAUAUGCUAUUUCUCAAAUAUGUGCGCCCUCCCGUUGGGCCAUGGAAUCCUCGAAGGUUGGGGAAGAACUGCAAAUAAAUAACCACAGUAUAUGGUUCUCAUCCUCCCUCAACUCAGGUUACAGUUGCUUUCCCUUGCUCCAUUUGAGAGAUUUCUGCAAGGAGCUGGUGGAAGGGUGCUCGUCUCUGGACAGCUCCUGCUUCUCCAUCUCCACGGUCUCUGGUGGCAUCACCAAGCUAUAUUGUCAUAUAACUUAAUGAAUGCACCACUGUAAGAUUGCUUGCUGGUACUAUUUAUCAAGGCGGGUGAUGGCUGCAGCAGCGGCCUCGGGUGGUGGAGGAUGGUGUCUGUCGAGGCACCAACAGGUGCAGCUUGUUGGUUGUGGCUUGGCAAGCGUCGUCUCGGCGAGUGCCAGGGCGGCUUCUUCUUUUUUCCUUCCGGGCACUGGAGUAUUACAUGCCCUUUUUGGAUGAGAUUUGUGUAUCCACGUGCUGCUGCCCAUCUACAUGACUUGAGGUUGUCCCGUUUGUUCUAGCGGAGGCAGGUCUUUUGUGAGGAUUGUAGCUGCAGGAGAUAGGGUCAGUACACUAGAUUUCAGCAUCACAGUCAUUGUACUGGUUGCCGCAGUGGUGCUUCUCCUCACAGGUGCCGGUGGUUGCGACUGUCGACAAUUGUGUGUGUAUGCCUCUCCAUUCGUGACCCCAGCCUCCGUCUUUUUGGCAUAAAGUCAUAGAUAUUAUCAUAACUUUGAUGCAAUAUGUACUGCAGAUUUAAUCCAGCUGACAUAGGGUUCUUACUCUUCCAUUUUAGGUUCAUUGAACAACCUGCCAGACACAUGGUUGUUACUCUUCCAUGUUAGGUUCAGUGAACAAUUUGUGUGUGAUCAUGAAUUAACCCUUCAGAAUUUUAAGAUGCAGCAUAAUUUAUAAAGGGCACGAUGUCCUGGCAGAAUUAUUAACUUUCAUAUUUUGUGUGUAAUAAGACCUGCUUGUUGUGCUCACUCACUAGGUGUUCUCAAGGAAAAAUACUCAUAUGACAGUGUCUCGAAAGUAUGUAUAUCUGUCAGUGUUAUAUAUAUUACACUUCAUACCUAAGUUGUGCAUGAAGUGAUAUUUCUUCAGCAAAAGUUACCUGACGGUAUUUAUUACAGUGUAUUUGACAUAUAAGGAACCUGAGUACAAAAUAAAAUGGCUGAUAUGUGGCAUGCAUCUAAGGUUGUUAGAUGUUUCCGUUUUUUAGUUCCAUAGAUGAGAAGAUGCGACUCAGGACGUACUCCUUGGACACAAGACAGACGCGUGGAUGGGCCGCUUCAGCGCUGCCUGCAGCCUUGGGCAAGCUGUUACUGUCACCAGCGCAGGGCGGCGUGUGCUUGAGAUUCCACUCGAGAUCGAUCGGAUUCGACCGGAUUUUGUAGCCAGUCGAGUUGUAGUGUUCAGGAAUCAGAUCUUGUGAGGUUGUUAAAUUUCAGAGAAAAUGUAAACUGGUAUGAGUUUCAGAAUUAUAUGGCCAUAUGCUCUGUAAUUUUA